This 362-nucleotide ribosomal RNA is filed under the name uncultured Bacillus sp. RNAcentral describes it as "bacterial SSU rRNA". It matches the Rfam family "Bacterial small subunit ribosomal RNA", at positions 952 to 1315 of the family's 1533-position model. Lineage: Bacteria; Bacillati; Bacillota; Bacilli; Caryophanales; Bacillaceae. The record is from RNAcentral.
CGGGGGAACGCGAAGAACCUUACCAGGACUUGACAUCCCUCUGAAUCCUCUAGAGAUAGAGGCGGCCUUCGGGACAGAGGUGACAGGUGGUGCAUGGUUGUCGUCAGCUCGUGUCGUGAGAUGUUGGGUUAAGUCCCGCAACGAGCGCAACCCUUAAUCUUAGUUGCCAGCAUUCAGUUGGGCACUCUAAGGUGACUGCCGGUGACAAACCGGAGGAAGGUGGGGAUGACGUCAAAUCAUCAUGCCCCUUAUGUCCUGGGCUACACACGUGCUACAAUGGGCAGUACAACGGGUAGCGAAGCCGUGAGGUGGAGCCAAUCCCAUAAAGCUGCUCUCAGUUCGGAUUGCAGGCUGCAACUCGC